RNAcentral lists this ribosomal RNA (253 nucleotides) under uncultured bacterium. RNAcentral describes it as "partial 16S ribosomal RNA". It matches the Rfam family "Bacterial small subunit ribosomal RNA", at positions 524 to 776 of the family's 1533-position model. The record is from RNAcentral.
UACGUAGGGUGCAAGCGUUGUCCGGAAUUAUUGGGCGUAAAGAGCUCGUAGGCGGUUCGUCGCGUCGGCUGUGAAAACCCGGAGCUCAACUCCGGGCCUGCAGUCGAUACGGGCGGACUUGAGUUCGGCAGGGGAGACUGGAAUUCCUGGUGUAGCGGUGAAAUGCGCAGAUAUCAAGAGGAACACCAGUGGCGAAGGCGAGUCUCUGGACAACUCCUGACACUGAGGCACGAAAGCUAGGGGAGCAAACAGG